Molecule: long non-coding RNA, 5723 nt
Filed under: Heterocephalus glaber (naked mole-rat)
Lineage: Eukaryota; Metazoa; Chordata; Mammalia; Rodentia; Bathyergidae
Description: lncRNA (ENSHGLG00000038277.1)
Source: RNAcentral
CAAAAGUUCAGGGUGUGAUAUCUAAGGUCACUACGGAAAAUCCAGAGACCAGAUACAUCACUCCUAACUGCAAGACAAAAGGAAAAGUCAGGUGUGGUGGUGCUUCCCAGCAAUCUCAGAUCUCGGACACUGAGUAAGACCUAAACACUCUCUGUCUCUCUGUCUCUCUCUCUCUCUGUCUCUCUCUGUCUCUCUCUCUCUCUGAAAAAGAAACAGUGAGGUGAAUUACUUCUGAAGAAAUAACGAAAAGCUUCCAGCCUACUUAGAGGAAGCAAGACAGAGAGGAAGACAGAAUAAGGUGGUAGAAAUAAGCACGAAUAUACGAACAUAUUCUCUUUAUGCUAGGCAUCCUCAUACAAUCCUGGCAGAGCUGGGGCCCCUGGCAACCUCAGCGCGUGAUCUCAGCACAGGGCUCUGCUGCCCUCCGGUGGCCGCUCGGUGUCACUGCACGCCCCGCCUGCUCUGGUCCCGGGAGGAGAGAGCUCCAGCUUGGGAAGCUGACCUGCAGGGAUGGGUGCCCCUCCUCCUGCCCCCCAAGUCGCCCUCCCAUCCCUCUCCCUUGGGGACAGUUUAGAGCUACCUGUCCGCACAGCCUCACGCACUCACAAGCCGCCUCUGGGAGGUGAUUGCCUCAUGGGCGUGGUACACCUGGGUUGACAGGAGGUGGGAUCUGGGCUGAGAGAAAUCGCCUGGUUCAGGGCCUGGGAGCCUUCAUCUCGCUGCCUCUGCUCCCUGGACUCUGCUUUCUGUCUGCCAGGCCCCUCCGCCAUGCCGCGCUGCCUUUGAGCUGCUGACUAGGGACUGAAACCUCUCCCAAGUGCGAGCCGAGAUAAACCUCUCCUCGGUUAACUUGUGUGCGCCCCGUAAGCGUGUCUCGGUGACCAAGUCACUCCCCUCGAGGUCCUGCCCUUGACACCUGCACGGCACGUGAGUGACACCUCUCGGGGGCAGGUCCAACCUUGGCUCUUGGGGAGGUUCUGGAGACGCGGUGGGGCAGCCCCCGGUGAGUCCUGGACGGGUCUAGGCCCCUGCCCCAGGUGUGUGGUCAAAAACAGUACGUUGUGUGGGUGCAGGAGUGGCUCUGCCUGUGUCCGACGCUCUCCACAAGGCCCCGGCAGCUUCCCGGCCGCACCUGUGCCCACCUCGGCCUGAGGGUGUGGGCCCACCUGAGCCACACUAGAGCUCCUGACCUGGCAAGACCCGUGGGGUCCUGAGCCUUCCACGAGCUCUAGGAAGGCUCGAUCGGUCUCUGGGAGGGCCUGACUCCCCUGCUGCUCAGCCACCACACAGCGCCCAGUCACGUCCUGUCCUCGUGGGAUUUCUUCCCCAGCUAGCAAGGGCGGCCCAUUGUGACCUCACUGGUGCGUAGGGCUGUCUUAGUCUGCAAGCUGCAGUCCUUCUGCCCCAAGACCUCUGCUGCUUUGCUGAUCUCAAGACACUGACAAUAUUGCUUGCUGUCUGCUCAGGACCCGGUCGUCUCCAUGGCAAAAGUCUUUGGCCAUUCAUACCCGUGUCCAUCCGUUGCCUCAGCCUUUCUCUUCAGCCAUGGCAAGGGUCCUAGCAGAGGUUCUUCAGCCUUAGUCAGCCCACUUUAGCUUGCUCCUUUUCUUCCUCGUAGGCACAACAGGCAUUGGGCUCUCCCAUCCCAACAGCAGCAUAUGCAUCCUUUUCAACUGGAAUAAAUUUUAAAGUGAUUUUUUAAAUCAUGUCACCCGUAAUUCAUUCAUUCAUCUGUUAUGGCCGAAUUUGGGACCCAUAUCAUUUAACCAUAUUUCAGGCUAAAAGUAAGAAAUAAAUUUGAAAGCCUUAAGUAACGAAAAGCUGGUUUGUUUGUUCAAUUCUGACAUCUGACUUCGGGAAGGAUUAAAAAACUUCCAGCAUUCACUGUGUUGUUCUCCUUCCUCAGACCUGGCUCGGCUUCUGGGUUCUUAGGCAUACCUUCUCUUAUCUAUUCCAGGCUUCCCUCGGGCCGUAGCAGCUCACAGAUGAUUUCCCAAGAUGAGAAGGCUCUCAUUUCCAUCAUUUCAAAUGACAUUCUUCACGUUUGUUCUGAUUGGGUUUGUGUAAAGGAUUUAUUCAAAACCAACCUGUAUAACCAUGGAAAUGACUAUCCUCAUUGGGUUUAAUCCAAACAAAAUCCCCUCCCAAAUGUGCACAAUGGAGGUCUUGGGUUGAAGGUGGAGGUGUUCUCCCAAAAUAAGCUGCGAUGUUCCUACAACUGUGCGUGACAAAAAGUGUCUGUUACAGGGUUCCAACUGUCCCUGGCCAUAAACGUACACAUCCCACCCUCUUCCUCAGACAUUACGUUGCCUAAAUCCUCCCCCCAAUACAGUCCCAGCUUCCAUUCUUUGUUGCAUUUCUAAUUCAAACAUUUAGGUGUGAAACACAUGUCACGUACACACAUCCUUGACAUCCACACCUGAUUCGGUCUGAGAUCACCUAAGCUGAAAUAGCCCUGAUAGCCACACUAUUCUUGAUUAUCACUAUUCAAUGCUUCUGUGAAAUUCAUAUCUACUGCUGAUGCAGGUACAAGUGACCAAAAGAGAAAUGAGGAAAGAAACACAGUUCAGAAACCCAUCUGUGCACUCAUUCCACAGUUAUAAAUACUUCAAGGACCAAACUACUACUGCAAACAAAACAGGGCAUUGGAGCAAAACAUUAAAAUAAAGACUCAUCAUCAGUACUAACUCCCAUUCUGUCCAUCAUAACGUGCAUUACUGAAAAGAAAAUUGUCUCCAAUAAAUUGUAAGGUUUUAUGCUCUAAAUAUGUCAUAGAUUGCUUAUAACACUCCUAGAUCACUUAUCAGAAAUUGCAUCCUUUUAUGGAAACUGCAGGUCAUGGAUUCUAUCUGGAUGUCCCCCCUCAAGCCCCUUGCACCCAGAGGUGAGGGCUUCCAGAGGGUGACUGGGUGAUGGGGGUGCUACGCCAGGCUUGGUGUCAGGAUGUGGGCCUGGUCGGAAGAGGUGGGUCAGCGCGGGUGUGACCUGGGAGGGUGUCUCUUGCUCCCUGGCCCACACUUUACCAUGUGCCUCCUGGCCUCCGCCAGGCAAGCAGCAUUUCUAUCAAUGUGCACCUCUGACAUGCCAUCCUGCCAUCCUGCCAUCCUGGAGCUAGCUAACUAUGAACUGAAAUGUGAGCUGAAACAAACCUCUCUUCCCUUAAUGUGUAGUGCUGAGUAUUGUGUUCAGGGACAAGCAAGUGGGUGAUACAGAUGUUGGUACAAGAAGUCUGCUGGUCACUGCAGCGACUGUACCUCACCAGGUGGUUCAGAGGCCUGUGGAAGUGGUCCACAGCAGUUUGGAAAGGUUUGGAGAUGCCAGCUGGAGAAGCAGCCCUAGAAUGCUCUAAUCUGAGCUUGAUGGAAGAUUCUGGUCCGAGCACAGAAGACCGGAGUGCAGAGAGAUUGCAGAUGAGAAAGGCCAGACUUAGGAGGUUUCAGUUGAGAAGAAGGAUGCCAGUGGCAGUUGGAUCCAGGCCAUGUGUGUUGUGCUCCAGCAGAAAAUAGGACUGUAUUGUGUUCGUGUCCUGAGAUUUGUGUGAGACUGAUACGAAGGGUGGAAGAAUCAUUCAUCUGAUGGAGAAAAUAUCAAGGUAGCCUAAAUAUCAGGCUGUAGCAUGGAUGCUGCUUGCUACUUUGAGCCAGGUUUGUGCUGAAAAUGAGGAGCAAAAGCCCAUUUAAAAACUUUUCAGUUCCACCCCCCCCCCCCAAAGAAAGGCCUGUAAAGAUGGAGCAAUGGACAGCCUGGUGGAUCAAAGAUUAGCAUUAAAAAGAAAUCAAGUACUUUACCAUAGGACGAUGGAAAAGAUACCCUGAAGACACAUAAGGAACCCACAAGGCCCAACCUUUCCAAGGCUCACAGUUGCAAAAGGGAAAGACUUUGUUUGGAGAGGAGAGCCCCAGGGCACCCUGCGUGAGAAGGGCCACCGUGGCGGGUUCCCUGGGAUUCAUCCAGUUCAUGGUGCUCAGCCAUCCAGGCCCAUGGAUGCUUCUGCAGCCAUGAUGCACAAAGGCCUAAGGAGGACUGCUUGGAGCCAGUGGUAGAACUUUGUGUCAUCUACAGGGUGCUGUUUUCACAGGUGUGCAGAAUGCAAGAGUUGAGUCAGGGAGGCUUCCACCCAAAUUUCCAAGGAAGGCCUGGCAGGCCAGGCUGGGUGUCCCUGAGAGGGCAGUGCAUGCAGCUGUGAGAGUUAAGCCAAAGGUGCGCUGGAGAACCCAGGAUGAGGGUGCAGUCAGGAACAUGGAACACCUGCAGAAAGCCACGCACCCAAACAUGUAACCCUCAUCUAAUCAGGAAGGAAACAUCAGGAAAACUUAAAUUGGGGGACAUUCUGUAAGAUAUCAGCUCAGUCAUACUCCAAACUGUCAGCUCAUACCAAACGAAACAAGGAAAAAUUGUGAAAACAUCAGUCAAGGGGCGUCUGAGGGAUGCAACAAUGAAAUGCAAUGUGGCAGCCCGGACGGGACUGCAGAUUGUUGUGGAGAGCAAGUGGUGAAGGUGGAUCUUAGUUAGUAAUUAUACAUCAAUAUUUGCUCACUCCUUGUACAGGAUGUACAAGACUAAUGGAUGACAUUAAUAACAGGAAAUGGAAGAGCUGGGUGGCCAUCUUAAUUGUGUAUAAAUCUAAAGCUUGUCAUAUAUAUAAGCUGUACUACGAGUUGUUCUUGUUUUGGUAUUUUUGGUUUUUCUUUCUUUUGGUACCGGGCAUUGAACUCAGGACCUUGUGCUGGUGAGGCAGGCAUGGUGCCACUGAGCUAAAUCCCCGGCCCCUCAAGCUCUGUUAUGUACAUGUAGCCACUCCUCAAAUGAUUGUGAACUGCACAAUAAAAAGAAGCAACAAUGUAAACUGCAGGCCUGCUUUCUAACACCGAAUCUCCCACCCUCAGCCAUAAUAGAAGCCUAAAUAUACUCCACAACCUCAACUAAAUCCCAACAAAAACCGCAACCCAAAGUGCACCUUGCCCCUUGGUCCUAAGCCACUUCCUCACCCUAACUGUAGCGAAACUUUGAGGAUGCAACCUCACUUCCUUGGUAUUAGAACCCAGCGAAACUGGGUGCCCUUCUGAAGCUGUCUCCCGUCCUGACCCCUUGGAGGGAGACAGAGAAGAGGGGAGGACGAGCUGUUGCCAUUUUCCCGCUUUCUGAAGGUCUAACGACAGAAAGGACCGCAAUCCGAGCCUUUUCCGACCUUGGCUCGGCUCUGGCCGCAGAGGUUUCCAGCUAAUGUUCAGGAGGAACCCACAUGUGAGAGAGGCAGCCCAGUGCCCACCCUGGACGUCAGCGCCAGCUGUGACCUCUCAUGGGCAGUGCUUCCCCUCGCGCUCAGGCGCCACCUCUCCCAUUUUGGAAACCUGGUCCGAAUGGCACCAUCCACCGGACAUUCCCCAAAUCAAGAUCAAAAGGGCCGGCUUGCAAGUGAACUCACCUGGAGCAGACAUGGAGCCUCCCUUGUGCCGUCCCCUUGCUCAGGUGGAAUAUCUAGAGCCCCACGAGGCCGACACAGAUGCUCCGGCUCCACGACCAGAACACCAUGGGCCUGCUCUGCAGCCGGAGCCAGCCCCAGAGGGAGAGCCUCCUCUGGAGACAGGAGAGAAGCAGAAGCCAGCUCCACAGCACUCCUGCCUCUCUGCUGCCGCUGACAAGGACAGGUCCUUGCAGAAGGUGCUCUUAGAAUUCUCUCGCGGGGGGUGGGGGGAGCGCCUGUGUUUGUUGGGUGUAAAAUC